AAUCUCUAAGGGCGUUGGAAGCUGAGUUCUCCAUAUCAUCGUGGUCGAAUGCUGCUGUAGGAGCCUCCAGUUUGCUCUUGUUUCCCACAUGCCUGCCCCUUUGCAAUAUGAUUUUGCUCCUCUUCCUAUUGAGAGGUAGAGGCUAGUUCUGUACCCCUUGAAUCUGGGCUCGGCUACACGACCUUUUAUGGCCAAUGGGAUGAUAUUGGCCAAAAUGUGCCACAAGCAGAGUCUGUUGCUGCUGGGAACCUUCCUGCAACCGUGUGCACCAGCCUGGCCUAGACUCCUGGAGGACAAGACUCCAUGGAAAGAGGCUCCAGCCGUACCCAUGGUCUCAGCACUGCAUUCAAAGCCCGGGAGAGCGGAGAAGAAGAUAGCCAAAUGGGAAAAAUGCAGAUCAGCAGUGGCUGCUGGCAGGCACACAUGGACACACGCCGCCCGGACUCACGGGUAUUCUUCCCC
This 462-nucleotide long non-coding RNA is filed under the name Dasypus novemcinctus (nine-banded armadillo). RNAcentral describes it as "lncRNA (ENSDNOG00000050598.1)". Lineage: Eukaryota; Metazoa; Chordata; Mammalia; Cingulata; Dasypodidae. The record is from RNAcentral.